Molecule: ribosomal RNA, 406 nt
Filed under: uncultured bacterium
Lineage: Bacteria
Description: partial 16S ribosomal RNA
Rfam family: Bacterial small subunit ribosomal RNA
Source: RNAcentral
AUUGAACGCUGGCGGCAGGCCUACCACAUGCAAGUCGAACGAGUGGCGGACGGGUGAGUCAUGUCUGGGAACCUGCCCGAUGGAGGGGGAUAACUACUGGAAACGGUAGCUAAUACCGCAUACCAUCGGAUGUGCCCAGAUGGGAUUAGCUAGUAGGUGGGGUAAAGGCUCACCUAGGCGACGAUCCCUAGCUGGUCUGAGAGGAUGACCGGCCAAAUUGGAAUGGAAACACGGACGAGACUCCUCAGGGAGGCAGCAGUGGGGAAGUUGGCACAAUGGGAGGAAUCCUGAAGCAGCAAUGCCGCGUGUAGGAAGAAGGCCGUCGGGUUGUAAAGAACUGUCAGCAGGGAGGCGGUACCGGGAGAAUAAACACCGGCUAACUCCGUGCCAGCAGCCGCGGUAAUAC